GUGCCUUUAGCUCAGACGGUUAGAGCAGCCGACUCAUAAUCGGUAGGUCACAGGUUCAAAUCCUGUAGGGCGCA
This 74-nucleotide transfer RNA is filed under the name Enterobacter phage EcP1. It matches the Rfam family "tRNA". From Rfam's summary of the family: Transfer RNA (tRNA) molecules are approximately 80 nucleotides in length. Their secondary structure includes four short double-helical elements and three loops (D, anti-codon, and T loops). Further hydrogen bonds mediate the characteristic L-shaped molecular structure. tRNAs have two regions of fundamental functional importance: the anti-codon, which is responsible for specific mRNA codon recognition, and the 3' end, to which the tRNAs corresponding amino acid is attached (by aminoacyl-tRNA synthetases). tRNAs cope with the degeneracy of the genetic code in two manners: having more than one tRNA (with a specific anti-codon) for a particular amino acid; and 'wobble' base-pairing, i.e. permitting non-standard base-pairing at the 3rd anti-codon position. The record is from Rfam by way of RNAcentral. Lineage: Duplodnaviria; Heunggongvirae; Uroviricota; Caudoviricetes; Schitoviridae.